GCUCAGAACGAACGCUGGUGGUAUGCUUAAUACAUGCAAGUCGAACGAAGAAAUCCCUUCGGGGAGAGUAAAAGUGGCGAACGGGUGAGUAAUACAUAGAUAAUCUGCCCUUAAGUGGGGAAUAACUUAUCGAAAGAUGAGCUAAUACCGCAUAAGACCACAAUACCUGCGGGUGUAGGGGUUAAAGGUUUACCUUUUGGGUAAAUCGCUGAAGGAUGAGUCUGUGUCCGAUUAGCUUGAUGGUAGGGUAAAAGCCUACCAUGGCGACGAUCGGUAGCUGGUCUAAGAGGAUGAUCAGCCACACUGGAACUGAGACACGGUCCAGACUCCUACGGGAGGCAGCAGUAGGGAAUAUUGGUCAAUGGGGGAAACCCUGAACCAGCGAUACCAUGUGUGCGAUGAAGGCCUUAGGGUCGUAAAGCACUGUCGCAUGAGACGAUAAUGACGGUAACAUGCAAGAAAGGACCGGCCAAUUUCGUGCCAGCAGCCGCGGUAAUACGAGAGGUCCUAGCGUUGUUCGGAAUUACUGGGCGUAAAGCGGAUGUAGGUGGGUGAUCAAGUCAGAUGUGAAAUCCUGAAGCUUAACUUCAGAACUGCAUUUGAAACUGUUCAUCUUGAGUACUUGAGAGGGUAGUAGAAUUCCUGGUGUAGUGGUGGAAUAUGUAGAUAUCAGGAGGAAUACCGGUGGCGAAGGCGGCUACCUGGCAAGAUACUGACACUCAGAUCCGAAAGCGUGGGGAGCAAACAGGAUUAGAUACCCUGGUAGUCCACGCCGUAAACGAUGAACACUUGGUGUUGGAGGUAUUGACCCCUUCAGUGCCGGAGCUAACGCGUUAAGUGUUCCGCCUGGGGAGUACGGUCGCAAGAUUAAAACUCAAAGAAAUUGACGGGAGCUCGCACAAGCGGUGGAGCAUGUGGUUUAAUUCGAUGCAACGCGAAGAACCUUACCUGGGUUUAAAGUCCCAUUGACCGCCAUAGAGAUAUGGCUUUCCUUCGGGACAAUGGUGACAGGUGCUGCAUGGCUGUCGUCAGCUCGUGUCGUGAGAUGUGGGUUAAGUCCCGCAACGAGCGCAACCCUUGCCUUUAGUUGCCAGCAUUUAGUUGGGCACUCUAAAGGGACUGCCGACGUUAAGUCGGAGGAAGGUGGGGAUGACGUCAAGUCCUCAUGGCCUUUAUGUCCAGGGCUACACACGUGCUACAAUGGUCAGUACAAAGGGUUUGCUAAUCCGUGAGGACAAGCUAAUCCCAAAAAACUGAUCUCAGUUCGGAUUGAAGUCUGCAACUCGACUUCAUGAAGUUGGAAUCGCUAGUAAUCGCAUAACAGCAUGAUGCGGUGAAUACGUUCCCGGGCUUUGUACACACCGCCCGUCACACCAUGAAAGUUGGUGGUACCAGAUGUCGCUGAGCUAACUUUUAGAGGCAAGCGCCCAAGGUAACGCUGAUGAUUGGGGUGAAGUCGUAACAAGGUAGCCGUAGGGGAACCUGUGGCU
RNAcentral lists this ribosomal RNA (1490 nucleotides) under Vibrio sp. Gp-3-1.3.1-voll. RNAcentral describes it as "bacterial SSU rRNA". It matches the Rfam family "Bacterial small subunit ribosomal RNA". The record is from RNAcentral. RNAcentral also lists the same sequence under 1 other name. Lineage: Bacteria; Pseudomonadati; Pseudomonadota; Gammaproteobacteria; Vibrionales; Vibrionaceae.